This 450-nucleotide ribosomal RNA is filed under the name uncultured bacterium. RNAcentral's name for it is "partial 16S ribosomal RNA". It matches the Rfam family "Bacterial small subunit ribosomal RNA", at positions 354 to 796 of the family's 1533-position model. The record is from RNAcentral.
GUGGGGAAUUUUGGACAAUGGGCGAAAGCCUGAUCCAGCAAUGCCGCGUGCAGGAUGAAGGCCUUCGGGUUGUAAACUGCUUUUGUACGGAACGAAAAAGCUUCUCCUAAUACGAGAGGCCCAUGACGGUACCGUAAGAAUAAGCACCGGCUAACUACGUGCCAGCAGCCGCGGUAAUACGUAGGGUGCGAGCGUUAAUCGGAAUUACUGGGCGUAAAGCGUGCGCAGGCGGUUAUGUAAGACAGAUGUGAAAUCCCCGGGCUCAACCUGGGAACUGCAUUUGUGACUGCAUGGCUAGAGUACGGUAGAGGGGGAUGGAAUUCCGCGUGUAGCAGUGAAAUGCGUAGAUAUGCGGAGGAACACCGAUGGCGAAGGCAAUCCCCUGGACCUGUACUGACGCUCAUGCACGAAAGCGUGGGGAGCAAACAGGAUUAGAAACCCCGGUAGUCC